Molecule: ribosomal RNA, 254 nt
Filed under: uncultured bacterium
Lineage: Bacteria
Description: partial 16S ribosomal RNA
Rfam family: Bacterial small subunit ribosomal RNA
Source: RNAcentral
UACAGAGGUGGCAAGCGUUGUUCGGAAUUACUGGGCGUAAAGGGCGCGUAGGCGGCCUACUAAGUCAGGCGUGAAAGCCCCGGGCUCAACCUGGGAACCGCGCUUGAGACUGGCAUGCUCGAGUUCGGGAGAGGAUGGUGGAAUUCCCAGUGUAGGAGGUGAAAUUCGUAGAUAUUGGGAAGAACACCGAUGGCGAAGGCAGCCAUCUGGACCGACACUGACGCUGAGGCGCGAAAGCGUGGGGAGCAAACAGG